Molecule: long non-coding RNA, 2005 nt
Organism: Heterocephalus glaber (naked mole-rat)
Lineage: Eukaryota; Metazoa; Chordata; Mammalia; Rodentia; Bathyergidae
Source: Ensembl
CAAUAUUUUUAUUGUAAUCUUUUGAUACUAUCUUUGUCUUUUCCAACUUGAUUUAUAAAAUACAGUUCUUGUUAAAGCAAGUGUAUGAAUGUCUCCCAUUAAUACUCAGUUCGUUCUUAUGAACAGGGUAGAUGGUGCCUUGGAAAUUAAAUUACUCAUUCUUGGUUAGAUUUAACACUGAAUCGUCAAGCGAAUUUCCCAAAUGGACCAAAUUAUCUUCUUAAUCUGUUCACUUCCCCACCCAGCAAAAUGAUUUUUAGUUUAAAAUCAUGUUAUAGAGUUUUUUGUUGAUUGUCUUAUUUAGUUCGAAAAUAAGAUACAAAACUAUUUAAUAUUUAAGUAUUGCUCUGUCAAAACAGUCAUACAGUAGAGUUGGAUCUGAUGCAAGAGUUGAGUUCAAGAGUUUGCUUAAAGAGUCAUGUAUAGCCAGUGUUUCUCUUAAUAAAAUUCUCCUUAGGUAAAAAAUACAAUAUGUGUAGCCAUAUUUAUGCAUACAUUAAAGACUGGUAUAUUGUGUCUCAAAAAGUAGUAUGUAGCAGUUUUUUUUAUUAGCAUUGGAAUAUGUUUCUUCAGUUAAAUAUUAGGUAGAGUAUCUGGCUUGCUUUAGGACCCAUUUUAUCCCAAACACAAGUACCUUUUCAUACUAGAAAUACUCUGAGCAUAGCUUAAAGUUUACUAAGAAAUUGAAACUCACUGGGGUGACAGAUUGGAGGGACCAUACCUCACCCAGGUCUUGGGCUCAGUGAGUGCAAUUUCAUAUACACUGGUAUAUUGUGUCUGUAAAUAUGUGCAUGCCAAGGAUAUGCAGUUAAUUUCACAUAUAGUGUAAAUGUUUUAUGACUUUGCUAUAAUGUGUUUACCUGGUAUUUUAAAGAACUGUUUAACUAGAUUUGUGGGAAAAACAUUAUUUCUUAAGAUGUAGUUAUAGAGAUGUAAAGUCACUGGCAUCCAAUCAAAGAGAAUUUAAGUAGUGUUGUAUUUUGGCAUUUUGAAAGUAUGUAUUUUUAACCUUGAUAGACACUAUUCAAUCAGAAUUGCUCCAAAGCUAAGUUCAGUUGUCUCAUACUUUAAAAUUACCCAAUUAUGUUUGCAGUGUUUAUUAUCUACAAAAAACGUUAUAUGGCCCAUGAUAUUAAUGGAAGAAUUUAGAACUUUGAUCAAAAAGAGAAGUGUACAGUUAGAAUCUUACCCUAUAGAAUACUUUGACUUGGUCAUCAAAAUUUAGUGGAAAUCAAUACUACAUUUGGCCAUGUGUCUGAUAUCACAUAGAGCAAAGCUGAUGUAAGAACUCAGACAAAUUGCUUAUUUUGCACUGUGGGAAGAAAAAUAUACGCACACAUACAAACAAACAUACAUGCCUGUUAGCUUUUCAUAAAGUAUUGCUCAAAGUUUUCAAAACUAUGUAGCACCUCCACGGUACAGCUUGUAGCAUUAAAUCUGGUUACCACUGGACCUUCCUUUAAAAUGCAAGACUCCUAUCCAAAAAAUUCCCCAAGUUAAAUCUGUCCUCACUGUCCACUGACUCAUUUUGUGAUGUCAGAUUUCAAGUACUAGUUACUAAAUGAUCCCAGUCUUUAUAAAUUCUACUUUACUUGGAAAUAAGACCUUAAAAUAUUUCUCAAGUAGUUUAUCAGUGUCUAAAAUGUUUGGUUCAAAAUAUGAACUUGGGGAAUGAAACAUUUAGAAUCAAGCAAAAACAAGUACUUUUUUCAAAGGUACUUAUAGCAUAUAAGUUAACAAGUGGGUCUUUUGGGAGUAUAUUUAGGAUUUGGAAGCAGUGGCAAUAGCAAGAGUCAGGUUUUGGGGAAGGCCUUAAAGAAGAAUUGAUUGAUGGUGCUGUAAUGAAAAUUAAGAAUGAUCUGUGGUUAGCUUAUUCAAAACGUAGUUUGUUUUCACACAACCUGAAAUAAAGCAUAUCCCCGUGUCUCCGUCCAGUAUGGACUGUUAAUAUUCUUUAUACCAUAAAAGAAGAAAGAACUUUUAAAAAUUAACUCUACUCCUGCAC